AUGUAUAUAAUGACUGGAAACCCUCACCUUCUCUUCCACAAUAUGAGAUCCAUGAGCACCGUCGCAGGAAGGAAGCACUUGGUCUCAUCCAUCUUCAUUCUGUGUUUCUUCUUGCUUCUUUGCAUGGAACAACAUCCUGUUGUGGAGGCAAGGUUUCUGAAGUUAGGGUUACAGUAUUAUCCCAAUCAUGGCGUUCUAUUCCAGAUUCUGCGCACUUGUUCUCGCCCUUCUUGUGAAACCAACGGAUCUGUUCCAUGUCCGCCAUGUCGCUAAAAAUUAGCUACUAGCUAGGUGUAUGCAUGUAUAUAUGGGAAUUUCCAUACUUAAUGUUUCAUCGAUAAUGACUUCAAAUCGAUUGAAUUUCGAAUUUAUACCAUAUUUAAUUUUAAUUUGUAUUAUUUGUUUGCCAUUUUGAAGCAUACAUUUUGCCACCUACUUUAUUAUCUAAUUCAUUGAACUAACUAAAACACUUAAUUCGAUCAUGGUUAAAUGAAAGUCUCAAAGACAUGUGUACAAAUUAUGUUUGAUUUCUAUCAAACAUAAUAACCUUGGUUUUCUUACCUUUUAACUCGACUGACUGGUCAAAGUAAUAUAAGCUAUUAAGGUUUCUGAAUAUUCACACUUUAGAUUUUAAUUUUUAUUAAAUUUUUACUACGAUGUAAAAAUUUAUGACUCCAUCUCCGGUCUAUAUCAUUCCAAGUUAGUUA
Molecule: long non-coding RNA, 707 nt
Filed under: Zostera marina
Lineage: Eukaryota; Viridiplantae; Streptophyta; Magnoliopsida; Alismatales; Zosteraceae
Description: long non-coding RNA (ZMAR_LNC003783)
Source: RNAcentral